Molecule: ribosomal RNA, 253 nt
Filed under: uncultured bacterium
Lineage: Bacteria
Also listed under: 1 other name
Description: partial 16S ribosomal RNA
Rfam family: Bacterial small subunit ribosomal RNA
Source: RNAcentral
UACGUAGGCAGCAAGCGUUGUUCGGAAUUACUGGGCGUAAAGCGAGUGUAGGUGGUUCGAUAAGUUUGGUGUGAAAUCUCCCGGCUCAACUGGGAGGGUGCGCCGAAGACUGUCGAGCUAGAGUGUGGGAGAGGUAGGCGGAAUUCCUGGUGUAGCGGUGAAAUGCGUAGAUAUCAGGAGGAACACCUGCGGUGUAGACGGCUUACUGGACCACGACUGACACUGAAACUCGAAAGUGUGGGGAGCAAACAGG